AGAGAUUAAGUGAUAAAAAUUACAGAAAAUUACAAAAUGGCAAAAUUUUUUUGACAAACACUAUUCUAUUGAAUUUCAUGCUUUGGAUCUUAAUGUUUUCAUUUCUUGAAUAAGUUUCUGUUUUACUUUAGGGUUGAGAUGAAUUGAGGUCCAGCCUUUUAAAUCUGGUUUAGGAUUUUGCUGGGGUUUGAGUGUGUUUUGACUGCGGAUUUCCUGGUUUGAGUUUGCUGCUGUUGCUUCUCUUUGAAUUCCCUAUCAGUUUCGGUUUGUUUUGUUGAUUAUUCAGGUACACUUUUGCACUUCACUCAAUGUAAGGCUUGAUAUUGAAUCGAAAUGGCAUUCGGAGCUCUGAUUAGCAAUUAUAAUUAGUUUUUGUUCAUAAUUUAGCAUACUUGUUUUACUUGCUUAGAUUUCCAGUUUGUUUCAACUGCCAGUUGCUAAUAAAUACCAGGUUGUGAGCUGCAUCUGGCUGUAAAUCAGUAGAGUACUUCAGUUUCUCAUUUGUAGUCUCCCAGUUCAUUGUUGGAAAUUUGGACAUGGUAUUGAACUUGGGAAUCAGUCCUUAUAAAACAAUGUAAUGACAAUGUGCUGCACCUGAACGUUUAUGCCAGUUUGUUCACUAGGUUUUGCUGUAAUAGUUUUUGUUAAGUAAUAUUCUGUUU
RNAcentral lists this long non-coding RNA (662 nucleotides) under Nicotiana benthamiana. RNAcentral's name for it is "long non-coding RNA (NBEN_LNC021686)". The record is from RNAcentral. Lineage: Eukaryota; Viridiplantae; Streptophyta; Magnoliopsida; Solanales; Solanaceae.